GAUGAACGCUAGCGGCAGGCCUAAUACAUGCAAGUCGAACGGGUGGUCGCAAGACCCCUAGUGGCGCACGGGUGCGUAACGCGUAACCAACCUGCCCCGAUCUGGGGGAUAGCCCGCCGAAAGGCGGAUUAAUACCGCAUAUACCCGCAGCCUGGCAUCAGGCAACGGGGAAAGAUUUAUUGGAUCGGGAUGGGGUUGCGUGACAUUAGCUAGUUGGCGGGGUAAGGGCCCACCAAGGCGACGAUGUCUAGGGGACCUGAGAGGGUGAUCCCCCACACUGGCACUGAGAUACGGGCCAGACUCCUACGGGAGGCAGCAGUAGGGAAUAUUGGGCAAUGGGCGAGAGCCUGACCCAGCCAUGCCGCGUGCCGGAUGAAGGCCUUCUGGGUUGUAAACGGCUUUUCUCAGGGAAGAAAAAGACCUUGCGAGGUACACUGACGGUACCUGAGGAAUAAGCACCGGCUAACUCCGUG
This 473-nucleotide ribosomal RNA is filed under the name uncultured bacterium. RNAcentral's name for it is "partial 16S ribosomal RNA". It matches the Rfam family "Bacterial small subunit ribosomal RNA", at positions 28 to 507 of the family's 1533-position model. The record is from RNAcentral.